This 72-nucleotide transfer RNA is filed under the name Malacochersus tornieri. Its description in RNAcentral is "tRNA-Lys". It matches the Rfam family "tRNA". From Rfam's summary of the family: Transfer RNA (tRNA) molecules are approximately 80 nucleotides in length. Their secondary structure includes four short double-helical elements and three loops (D, anti-codon, and T loops). Further hydrogen bonds mediate the characteristic L-shaped molecular structure. tRNAs have two regions of fundamental functional importance: the anti-codon, which is responsible for specific mRNA codon recognition, and the 3' end, to which the tRNAs corresponding amino acid is attached (by aminoacyl-tRNA synthetases). tRNAs cope with the degeneracy of the genetic code in two manners: having more than one tRNA (with a specific anti-codon) for a particular amino acid; and 'wobble' base-pairing, i.e. permitting non-standard base-pairing at the 3rd anti-codon position. Lineage: Eukaryota; Metazoa; Chordata; Testudines; Testudinidae. The record is from RNAcentral.
ACACUAAGAAGCUAAUAUAGGAUAGCACUAGCCUUUUAAGCUAGAAAAGAGACUUCCCACCCUCCUUAGUGA